UACGGAGGGAGCUAGCGUUGUUCGGAAUUACUGGGCGUAAAGCGCACGUAGGCGGCUUUGUAAGUUAGAGGUGAAAGCCCAGGGCUUAACCCUGGAAUUGCCUUUAAGACUGCAUCGCUAGAAUCGUGGAGAGGUGAGUGGAAUUCCGAGUGUAGAGGUGAAAUUCGUAGAUAUUCGCAAGAACACCAGUGGCGAAGGCGGCUCACUGGCCCGAUACUGACGCUGAUGCACGAAAGCGAGGGGAGCAAACAGG
Molecule: ribosomal RNA, 253 nt
Filed under: uncultured bacterium
Lineage: Bacteria
Description: partial 16S ribosomal RNA
Rfam family: Bacterial small subunit ribosomal RNA
Source: RNAcentral